GAUCUCUUCGGAGUGACGUACCGGAAGCUUAGUGGCAGACGGGUGAGUAACACGUGAGCAACCUGCCCUAUAGAGGGGAAUAACACACCGAAAGGUGUGCUAAUACCGCAUAAGUAUGAUUAUCGCAUGGUAGACAUAUGAAAGAUUUAUCGCUAUAGGAUGGGCUCGCGGCUGAUUAGUUAGUUGGUGGGGUAACGGCCUACCAAGACGACGAUCAGUAGCCGGACUGAGAGGUUGAACGGCCACAUUGGGACUGAGACACGGCCCAGACUCCUACGGGAGGCAGCAGUGGGGGAUAUUGCGCAAUGGGGGAAACCCUGACGCAGCAAUGCCGCGUGAAGGAAGAAGGUCUUCGGAUUGUAAACUUUUGUCUUUGGUGACGAAGAAUGACGGUAGCCAAGGAGGAAGCUCCGGCUAACUACGUGCCAGCAGCCGCGGUAAUACGUAGGGAGCGAGCGUUGUCCGGAUUUACUGGGUGUAAAGGGCGCGUAGGCGGGCCUGCAAGUCAGAUGUGAAAUACCGGGGCUUAACCCCGGGGCUGCAUUUGAAACUGUGGGUCUUGAGUGCGGGAGAGGAAAGCGGAAUUCCUAGUGUAGCGGUGAAAUGCGUAGAUAUUAGGAGGAACACCGGUGGCGAAGGCGGCUUUCUGGAUCGUAACUGACGCUGA
Molecule: ribosomal RNA, 667 nt
Filed under: uncultured Lachnospiraceae bacterium
Lineage: Bacteria; Bacillati; Bacillota; Clostridia; Lachnospirales; Lachnospiraceae
Description: bacterial SSU rRNA
Rfam family: Bacterial small subunit ribosomal RNA
Source: RNAcentral